This 181-nucleotide small RNA is filed under the name Candidatus Crickella merdequi. RNAcentral describes it as "6S RNA". The record is from RNAcentral. Lineage: Bacteria; Bacillati; Bacillota; Clostridia; Peptostreptococcales; Anaerovoracaceae.
UAAUUCCUGGAAUAUGCGUUGAGUUUAUAUAAUUGAACCUACACUUCUUGCACGGGAUUUCGAUAGAUUGCACAAUGACCGGCCUCCACAGUCAGAGGACUUCAGCGUAGUAAUUUGAGAUAACCCACCUUAUCUUAUGAUAGGGCGUCAAUUAUUGGCUUGACGGUAUUUCGGGUUUUUU